CCAUCAACACAGCCCCUUUCUUUUAUCACCAUAUGUAUACCCCUUCUUUCAUUUCUCUAUUUCCUUAUCUCACUCAGCCACCGAAACCCACACACAUACACCCUCUAGUUCCCUCUAUUUCUCUCACUCCCUCAACAGUAAACCAGCCAACCACCACCACUUUUGGCGGAUUUCACCGGAGAACCCCAUUAGCAACCCCAUACGCUCCAUUCUCUCAAAGCUUUAAAAGUUCUAAUAAUCUUGGUGAUGGACCUAGUGACUGGAUUAGUUGAUUUUGUGGUGCCCGGUUGAGGUAAAAUUGGCUGGCCUUCCGAGUUAAGUAGCUUGUAAUGGGAUUUUUGGAAAAUAACCAUGUUGUAUAAACAUUGUUUUCGGGUCAAACACAUUUUGGAAAAUUAAUGGUGGAACUAUGUUUUUCUAAAAAGUGUUAUGUUGUGACCCUACUAUAUAUGAUUAUAUAUGAAAGUGCAUAUUUUUAUUUCAUAUGGGGAAUUACAUGAUUGUUAGCAUGGAAAAGACUAGCAUCUUUGAUUGAAUUCUUGAAAAUGCGUUUUAUGGAUUCAUUGCAUUAUUUGCAAAUUCUAAAGAUGCUUUAUCUUAGCUUGUAUUAUUUGGGAAAUUUACGCAAAAUAUUUAUGUCAAGAAAUAGUUUAGAGGAUUUUGAGAAUAUUGUAGCUAUUUGGUUAUUGAAAUAUUUUAUGAAACUACUUGGAAGUGAACUGUGUAUUUUAAAUACAUUAACUUGUGAGCUUUUGACAUGGUUUUGUCAUUGUGCCAUGAUAUUGGUGAUUACCCCAUCUGUGUGACAACCUCGUCUGUGUGACAACCCACCGUCUAUGUGACGACCCCGUCUGUGUGACGACCCACUGUCUGUGUGACGACCCGUCUUUGUGACGACUCGUCUGUGUGACAACCUUGUCAUGUGGCCUUGGGUGAGGUUUCUGGAUUUGAAAUGGUAUUGGAUAUUUUAUGGCUCACAAUGAAUAAUAUGUAGUUUCAUAAUUACUUUGGGAAGUUUGGUGCUACAAUAUGUCUAUUAUUCUUGUCAUAAUGUUAAGGAAAUUUAUUUUGCAGAAUUCAAAUGGAAAUUCCCAAAUUUUAGCAUGUCUGUAAAAUGUUCAUUGUUGUGAAACUUGCAUUUCCCCCCACCCCCAUUAAUUAUGCUACUUACUGGGCUUUAGCUCAUCCCACUCUCCAACAGUUUUUCAGAUAAAUUUGCUAUACCUCAAGCAUGGAGCUUGUUUUAUUGGCGGUGAUUGGAGCAUUAUGCUAAGUGAGAGAUUUAUGCUAUUGAGGUUGCAUACUUUAGAGAGGAUCAUGACUUUGUGUUUAUUUUAUUUGGAACGUUGGAUUGUUAAGUGUAUUUGGAGUCACAUGAUUGUAGUUUGUUUUGCUUGUAAAUGUGUCAUAGAGCUCUGACUUGUAUUGUGGAGAGAUCAAUAUAUUUAUUUAUUUUAUCAAAUGGAAGGAAAAAAAAAAAAAUCUCCUGCGUUCUCGCUUUUAAUGGUUCUUCCCUCACGCUUUGAACUCUCUUUGGUUUGGGGCAUGACAUUGUAGGGGUCCGAACCCCUACGAGUGAGCAGAAAAGGGAGGAGGAAAGAGGCCUGGUAAACUGUCAUAAUUAGUGAAAAAGUGUAAGCAUUCACUGCCCGACAAUAUGAAGUACUGACCACACUAAGGGAUAGGCCCUAAAGCAAAGGACGAGAACGAGUAGAAUCAAUGUGUUCCAAUUUCUGGCCUUGCACCGACCAUCUCAUGGACCAUGGACUAAACAGCCACUGCCUUAAAGGAUGCAUGCAACAAGGAGCAUGGUGAAGCGUUGCGCAAAGAUUUUUAUUCGAACAUUUGUGCUUAUACCCAAAAUGAGUACUCAAAUUAUAAUUGAAACUCCUUAUAAUCAUGCAUCCUGCAUGCUACCAUGAGUCAUGACCCAAGCUAUCACAAAUUCAGUCUCCGAUCCCUCAUAUAAAUUGUGAACAUCCACCUCAAGCCCAAACCCAGUUUACCUUCCUCAAGGAAUUUCAUAUUGAUUAUGAGCUGUUAA
Molecule: long non-coding RNA, 2044 nt
Organism: Quercus robur (English oak)
Lineage: Eukaryota; Viridiplantae; Streptophyta; Magnoliopsida; Fagales; Fagaceae
Exons: 2
Source: RefSeq, a predicted model, not a curated record